This is a long non-coding RNA of Erigeron canadensis, 1625 nucleotides long. RefSeq lists it as uncharacterized. The record is from RefSeq and is a predicted model, not a curated record. The transcript has 9 exons. NCBI's taxonomy places the organism in Eukaryota, Viridiplantae, Streptophyta, Magnoliopsida, Asterales, Asteraceae.
UUUUCUGUGUCCAUUCCCCAUCAAUGUAUACCAUUACUUCUCUUCAAUCCACCAUCCUCUCUCCUUCCUCUUCAAUCCACCAUACAUCGACAAGACGAUAACCCACCGCCGGCUCCGCCACGUCACCACCCGAGCCACCCACAACUCCUCCCGGCGCAUAAUCUGCCUUUUUUCUGUUCCUUAUGGACUUAUGGCUGCUUUUGCUUCUCUUUCUUUCUCAUUCUUUCCUUCUCCUACACUCACUGAAAAAUAUCACACAGUCAUGGGAGAUCUGAAAAAUGUAACGGAACUCAUUCAUCUUCUUCUUUAUCCCCUCAUCUGAAUGUUGGUCUAAGGAAUUAGUUAUGAGUGGUGGUACAAAUAUUUGGUGUGACCUGGCCGAGUUUGAUGGUCAAGCGGCUUAAGAAUAGGGGAAGGCUAGAAAGAUUCAAGCAUGUGUUAAGAUGCACUUGGUGCCACACUUCCAAGGUGAACUGAAGGAGGCUGCCCAUGUUUUGAUCCGAAAGUUUGAUGGUGCUGCCCAAAAGGACACACAUAGUGUUGUUGAUCUUGAUUAUAAGAUCCAGUUUCUUCAAAUGCACUGACGUGCAACCAGUCUUAACAUAUACCUGACGUUGUUGAUAAGAAACAAGCGAUUGUUGUGAACACCAACUUAUGGUUCUUUUGAUUGCUGUGGAGAUGAAUGUGACGACAAGCUUGACUGGAUCUUGUAUUUGGUAGAUGGCGAUAUUAUUAAUUCGCUUGAGCUAUGUAAGUAGUUGAGAAAUAUCAGGUACUUUGUUUGCUUUUUGUUGCAAUGGUAUACUGCGUUUGUGUGUCUACAUAUGUGAGUGAUUAUGAUACUGAAUGUUGUGAUAUCCUUGCUGAUAAUUUGAAUGGAGCUAUAACCGUCGAUGUCAUUGGGAGAAUUGCUUGGAGUGGUGAUAUAGAGAUUUUUAGAACCGUGGGUAAAGAGAGCAAAAGGAAGAACUUCGACCUCCAAGAUUAUGAUAGCUAUUGGGAAAAUACCAACCAUAAACGCUGAUAUUUAUUUCAUUUAACACCAUUGGAGGCCACGCCAGCAUUUGAGACAAAUUUCUCCUUGAUGUAAAUUCAAAGCUAUAUUGAUUUACGGACCUUGAAGGCUGAAGCUGCAAACAUUGUAUUGGAUUCUGGUGCAGAUAUAAACAUUGUUGGCAUAAAUACCACAACACAACUCAAACUGUCAGGGAAUUUCUUUCAUGAUCCAACCUCUCGAAGCAAGUUAUGCAACUAAAGAAUUUGUUUCAUAAAGUGAAUCUUGGAGCUUUGAAGUUCUGGCCAAAGUGGCUUUUGCCUCAAAGCAACUGGUGUGAAAUGGCCAUAUCUACUAUAUAUACUCAGAUUUGAAAUACAUAUUUGCAGCCAUUAGACCCCUUCAAUAUUAAUUUGGCGCCACCAGUAUACUAUGUCAAAUUUACAAGCCUCGCCAUCCUGCCUAGCGUGUUCAUGUUUAAGGUAAUUCAGGAUGUAUUGCAUCAAGUAGAGAUGGUAUAAUAUGCUGAUCCUUUUGUACAGGGUAGGUUGACAUGAAAUCCAUGUUUCCUACAGUUAUUUUUUUGUGAUAAAGUAGAUCAACUUUUCAUAUAUAGUAAUUUUUUUUUCCA